RNAcentral lists this ribosomal RNA (105 nucleotides) under uncultured bacterium. Its description in RNAcentral is "partial 16S ribosomal RNA". It matches the Rfam family "Bacterial small subunit ribosomal RNA", at positions 1378 to 1482 of the family's 1533-position model. The record is from RNAcentral.
CCCUUGUACACACCGCCCGUCACGCCAUGGAAGUUGGGAGUGCCCGAAGUCCGUGACCGAACCUUCGGGGCGGAGCGGCCGAAGGCGAGCCUGAUGACUGGGGCG